Molecule: ribosomal RNA, 38 nt
Filed under: uncultured Tomentella
Lineage: Eukaryota; Fungi; Basidiomycota; Agaricomycetes; Thelephorales; Thelephoraceae
Description: partial 28S ribosomal RNA
Source: RNAcentral
GAUCUCAAAUCAGGUAGGACUACCCGCUGAACUUAAGC